CGGACAACACAUACAACAAAACACACCCACCUGCAGCUUUGGACGCCAUUGCUGUUACAAAACUUUCGCGCGCAUGUCGACUGUACCAAAGCGUCGCUGAAGGGGUUUUCCGGAAGCCGGACGAAACCACUAUCGGAGAAUUUGGUUCUGACCGCCACUACCUUGAGCCAGGACAGAUUUGGCAAGCCUCUUCUCUUUCAUGAUCUAAAACACUCUGCGAUCAAUCGCCCCUUCUGGCUACUCCAGCUGAAGAUCUGUAUAAUGUCCUCUGCAAACAGUGGGACAGAUGAAUGCAGGUCCCAGGGGUUGUGCUCCCUCCUUCUUUAAUUUGUUUGCAUAAUCCCCGAGCACAGACUUGGAAGGGGCAGACGAAAGACGGCAUUGAAAACAAACAAGAAGAAAGCGCGAGAAAACACCCUGCAGAGCAACAGACGGAUGUGUCUUAGGACGCCAAAGACAAGAGCAAAUAUGGCGCUACCGGAAUAGAAGUACCAAAUCCUCGGGUCUCUCUCAUGGACGUGGAUGUGGCAGUCACAUUUUUGGCCACUCAAACAAAUCACUCGAAGGACGUCACAGACUGCGUCUGUGCCAACAAACGCGGGCCAUACAAUCUCCCAGAGCGAGGCGGUGUGACUGACUCACAAGCGCUCAUCUAAUCACCGUUCUUUUGUUCGCUAAUGAAAACACAAAGACACAUCAAGUCUACUCUGUCUUUGUAUCCCAGCCUGUCUUCGCAGUCUGUUGCAGAGUAUUUUUAGCCGCGUGGGUAAACCCUCGGAGGAGCAGACAGACCAACGGACAGAUGUCCUCGGUCCUCGCCCCGCUCUCCUCUUUUACCUCUGACUGACUCGAGGCCGGAUAUACAGAACUCCUCCACACUUCACAAUCUGUACUCCUGUGAACACGUGCUCACAUUCAUGCUCACACACUCAUGAAUGCACCGCAGAUAUUUCGGUGUGAACACACAUCAACAACAACAACAGAAGGCGCUAUGUUCAUUCAUAGUUUCUGCGGGGUUUUUUUUGUUUGUUUUUUUUUGUAUGUUUGCUGUUCUCAGCUGCAGAAUCUUUUCUCGGGUUUCUCUGGGACUCUGCAGCUGGUAAUGGUGUAUUCUGAUGUUUAUUUCAUAAUCAUGCUGUACUUCUGUCCUGCAUUGUGAAACACUGCUAGCUGGUUCAGCACCUGCCCUCAAAGUGUGAGCUAACUGAACAUGACUGCUUAGUUCAGAGAUCUCUCAGUCGUUAUUUCAGUCUCAUGGGUUCACUGGUGUCGAGCAAACGACUUCAAUGAGAUAUUGAGUUCAAU
Long non-coding RNA from Acanthopagrus latus (yellowfin seabream), 1305 nucleotides. RefSeq lists it as uncharacterized. The record is from RefSeq and is a predicted model, not a curated record. Lineage: Eukaryota; Metazoa; Chordata; Actinopteri; Spariformes; Sparidae. The transcript has 3 exons.